UAACCUUUUUUUAACCUCAUCCCACAGAAUUUUCCUAACAUUGGCGCCAAAAUCAUAGGCGAAAUGGUUGACCGAGACUUGGUCACAGCCAUUCAGACGGCUGUCGCCUCUGGAAUAAGGUCUGCUUUGUCAUCUAUGCUGACAACAUCAGCAACAGCUGGACUGUCAACCUCAGCCACAACCUCGGCUACCACUGCAGUAAGACUAGUACCCCUUCCAUCAGUCCCUCAGAACAGCUGGGGUACAAAUCGAAGGACUCGUAAGAGGCAGAGAACGUACACAAAAGACGUGAUCUGUUUGCCAUUUAGUACAGCAACAACAAUGAACAUCCCAAGAGGUCAUUCCCGCAAUAAUUUAGCAGAAUCAGGUCUUAUUGGGAAAAUUUCUUUUGGGUCUGACUGGUCUGAAUUACAGCUACGUGCUGAAAUAUCAGCCAUUUUCAGAAGCAGCUUUGGGCUGGCAGAGAAUCAAAUGCUGCCAUUUGAAUACCUGGGAACUAUAAAAGGCAGUAAGAAAUGAAUGAAACCAAAAGUCACCAGGUCCUUCCCAUGGGGAGGUAAGGAGGUGGCCUCUAUCUGCUCUCAAACAUGCCUGUAUGUAUUGGCUGGAAUACACAAACCCAAUCAGGUAAAAUUAAACAAUGUUAUAUUUUAGAAAUAUUGUAAACAUGAUGUAUCUUUUGUUUAUGAUGAACAACUCUGUUCCUGCACAGGACGAAAUCAUUGAUGUCCCUGAUGAUGAUGAUGAUGACGAUGAUUUCCAAAUGCCACAAAGAAGACAACUGCGCCAGAGAGAGCCUUUGCCUACAAGGGAA
Long non-coding RNA from Eleginops maclovinus (Patagonian blennie), 814 nucleotides. RefSeq lists it as uncharacterized. Lineage: Eukaryota; Metazoa; Chordata; Actinopteri; Perciformes; Eleginopidae. The transcript has 4 exons. The record is from RefSeq and is a predicted model, not a curated record.